UACUUGGAACAGAGCACACGAACGGAAUCCACGGUUCCGCCCAUCGAGCCGAAACAUCAAAAUCGUCAUCGUUUUCCUAUCUGCGAUGUUAUCUCAUCGAUUGAGAUCUGUGUUUGUUGCAUACAAAAAUUAACCAGAACAAUACGAUUGCUUAUAUCGGACGUUAUUUGAUGCUUGAUGAAUUAGACACGUGCCUCAAUUUGUGCUUUUAAGAAAUUUGUAAAUGAUAAAUAAAGGCAUGCAAAACCGAUA
Molecule: long non-coding RNA, 252 nt
Organism: Wasmannia auropunctata (little fire ant)
Lineage: Eukaryota; Metazoa; Arthropoda; Insecta; Hymenoptera; Formicidae
Exons: 2
Source: RefSeq, a predicted model, not a curated record